RNAcentral lists this ribosomal RNA (428 nucleotides) under uncultured bacterium. RNAcentral describes it as "partial 16S ribosomal RNA". It matches the Rfam family "Bacterial small subunit ribosomal RNA", at positions 354 to 796 of the family's 1533-position model. The record is from RNAcentral.
GUAGGGAAUAUUGCGCAAUGGGGGAAACCCUGACGCAGCGACGCCGCGUGAGUGAUGAAGGCCUUCGGGUCGUAAAGCUCUGUUGCAGGGGAAUAAAAAAAUGAAGGUACCCUGUGAGGAAGGAUCGGCUAACUUCGUGCCAGCAGCCGCGGUAAGACGAGGGAUCCUAGCGUUGCUCGGAAUCAUUGGGCGUAAAGAGGGCGUAGGUGGCUUGGUAAGUCAGGUGUGAAAGCCCAGGGCUCAACCCGGGAAGUGCAUUUGAUACUGCUGAGCUUGAGUGUCGGAGAGGUUACCGGAAUACCUGGUGUAGUGGUGAAAUACGUAGAUAUCAGGUGGAACACCGGAGGCGAAGGCGGGUAACUGGACGAACACUGACACUGAGGCCCGAAAGCGUGGGGAUCAAACAGGAUUAGAUACCCUGGUAGUCC